GCAGGUGAACCUGCAGAAGGAUCAUUG
RNAcentral lists this ribosomal RNA (27 nucleotides) under Avena clauda. Its description in RNAcentral is "partial 18S ribosomal RNA". The record is from RNAcentral. Lineage: Eukaryota; Viridiplantae; Streptophyta; Magnoliopsida; Poales; Poaceae.